This 269-nucleotide ribosomal RNA is filed under the name uncultured prokaryote. RNAcentral describes it as "partial 16S ribosomal RNA". It matches the Rfam family "Bacterial small subunit ribosomal RNA", at positions 524 to 792 of the family's 1533-position model. The record is from RNAcentral.
UACGUAGGUGGCAAGCGUUAUCCGGAUUUACUGGGUGUAAAGGGCGUGUAGGCGGGUCUGCAAGUCAGAUGUGAAAUCUCCGGGCUUAACUCGGAAGUGUCAUCUGAAACUACGGAUCUUGAGUACUGGAGAGGAUAGUGGAAUUCCUAGUGUAGCGGUAAAAUGCGUAGAUAUUAGGAGGAACACCAGUGGCGAAGGCGGCUAUCUGGACAGUAACUGACGCUGAGGCGCGAAAGCGUGGGGAGCAAACAGGAUUAGAUACCCCGGUA